RNAcentral lists this ribosomal RNA (241 nucleotides) under uncultured Actinomycetales bacterium. Its description in RNAcentral is "partial 16S ribosomal RNA". It matches the Rfam family "Bacterial small subunit ribosomal RNA", at positions 89 to 334 of the family's 1533-position model. Lineage: Bacteria; Bacillati; Actinomycetota; Actinomycetes; Actinomycetales. The record is from RNAcentral.
GCUCGAGUGGCGAACGGGUGAGUAACACGUGAGUAACCUGCCCUUGACUUUGGGAUAACUUCAGGAAACUGGGGCUAAUACCGGAUAGGACGAUGGUUUGGAUGCCAUUGUGGAAAGUUUUUCGGUGUGGGAUGAGCUCGCGGCCUAUCAGCUUGUUGGUGGGGUAAUGGCCUACCAAGGCGUCGACGGGUAGCCGGCCUGAGAGGGUGUACGGCCACAUUGGGACUGAGACACGGCCCAG